GGGAUAACAGUUGGAAACGGCUGCUAAUACCGCAUAAGCGCACAGCAUCGCAUGAUGCAGUGUGAAAAACUCCGGUGGUAUAAGAUGGACCCGCGUUGGAUUAGCUAGUUGGUGAGGUAACGGCCCACCAAGGCGACGAUCCAUAGCCGACCUGAGAGGGUGACCGGCCACAUUGGGACUGAGACACGGCCCAAACUCCUACGGGAGGCAGCAGUGGGGAAUAUUGCACAAUGGGCGAAAGCCUGAUGCAGCGACGCCGCGUGAGCGAAGAAGUAUUUCGGUAUGUAAAGCUCUAUCAGCAGGGAAGAUAAUGACGGUACCUGACUAAGAAGCACCGGCUAAAUACGUGCCAGCAGCCGCGGUAAUACGUAUGGUGCAAGCGUUAUCCGGAUUUACUGGGUGUAAAGGGAGCGCAGGCGGUGCGGCAAGUCUGAUGUGAAAGCCCGGGGCUCAACCCCGGUACUGCAUUGGAAACUGUCGUACUAGAGUGUCGGAGGGGUAAGCGGAAUUCCUAGUGUAGCGGUGAAAUGCGUAGAUAUUAGGAGGAACACCAGUGGCGAAGGCGGCUUACUGGACGAUAACUGACGCUGAGGCUCGAAAGCGUGGGGAGCAAACAGGAUUAGAUACCCUGGUAGUCCACGCCGUAAACGACGAAAAUGAGGUGUUGGGAAGCAUUGCUUCUCGGUGCCGUCG
Molecule: ribosomal RNA, 693 nt
Filed under: uncultured bacterium
Lineage: Bacteria
Description: bacterial SSU rRNA
Rfam family: Bacterial small subunit ribosomal RNA
Source: RNAcentral